RNAcentral lists this small RNA (41 nucleotides) under Arabidopsis thaliana (thale cress). RNAcentral describes it as "ATSL123400". The record is from RNAcentral. Lineage: Eukaryota; Viridiplantae; Streptophyta; Magnoliopsida; Brassicales; Brassicaceae.
UUUAGCGGAUAUGUUCCUUCUUCUACUUUGUGGGUUUCAUU